GUAUCCACAAAGAUAGGGGUAUCCUGGUGGUUCGGAGCAUUUAGAGGCUCAGGGAUGAGCGGUGGAGCAUUGUUGCAAACUUGGGUUGGGGUCUUCUGCGGACGUGCAAGGACCUGAUUGUUGACAUCUACAGCAGCAAGGGAUAUGGAUAGACUUGCCAAACUUCUGACUCGGUCCAGUUCCUCUCGAAACCUUAGCAAAUAUUGCUCCAAAUGAGCAGCAGUUUCCUUGGUGAUUGGGGUACCCUGAGAAGUUCCUUCAAUUUCCUCUCUUGCUUCAUUAUCUGCCAUCUUUCCUUUGUUCCUGUUUCUGGGAGGACUCAGAGGAGGAGGAGGAGGACCCUUAGAUCUUGUUGAGCGCCUUCAAUUUCCUUUCUUGCUUCAUUAUCUGCCAUCUUUCCUUUGUUCCUAUUUCUUGGAGGACUCGGAGGAGGAGCACCCUUAGAUCUUGAUUAAUAUGCUGAUUGUGCCAGAAUGCAGGAACUAACCUUUGGGGAGGGGAUAAAAACAAAAGGAAAACAAAAAGGUAAAAAGUUAGUGCAGAUUCUGAGAAAGAGAACACUGCAGUAUGAAAACACGUUGCUACAAAAAAAUAAAUCAUUUCCUAUUUGGGUGCCAUGUUGUGCCCGAGGUAGGCCUAACGACAAAUAAUGAUUUGGAGAACUCAUAAUACCACAUGCCUCAUUUUAUUGAUAGAAAAUAGAACGAGUCAAAACAAACUGAAACAAAGAAAAAUUUUCACUAAUGCCCAAAGGCCUUAUUACAUUGAGAAAGCAGUAAAAUCCUAACUACUUGGUCCCAAAAGGACCUUCCCCAUAUUCGGUAUCUUUGCCUCCCUCAUAUAGCUUCAUCUCGCGCAUUCCCAGCAACAAAUAAGCCUGAGCCAAACGCCCACUUUCAUUACCUUCAACUUCCUGACAGUCUUUGAUCCUUUUCAGAAACUUGCCUUCCAGCUCCACUAUGCCUUGUUCCAAGUACCCUAAACGGUUGCUUGCUCGGACAGCCAUGUCUUUAUUCAUUGAAUACCUUCUCUUGAGCUUCUAGUACUUCCUGAUGUUCGCUCUCAUACUCUCGCAUCCGCGUGCGUAGCUGGUUGUACUCGACCUUUGAUGCAUCCUCCUCAUCAAUAACUUUGUGACCAUGAACGAAACUUAUUUUUCCUAAGCCAAUAUGAUAAUCUUCUAACCAUCCCGGAUAAAGUGGUGCAUGCCCCUCCUGGUACCUAUCUGGUUCCAUGGAUUCCUUUUCUAGAAUGAUUUUGGAGUGCCACAUAUGCUGAGCUCGGCAUGUGUGUGGGUUAUCAUUUCCUUGGAAAUCAGCUCUGUAUUGACUCAUCUUUUGCACUCUUGGUACAAUCUGCUUCCUUCCGUCUUGCCUCAUUUCUCGGAGAGGACAUAAGGGUAAGUUCCUCUAGCACCUGUGUGGGCUAUCAUCAUCCUGGAAAUCGGCUCUGCAAUGACUCAUCUUUUCCACGCUUGGUAUAAUCUGCUUCGUUUCGGCUUGCCUCGUGACUCGGAGAGGGACAUAAGGGUAAGUUCCUCUCAAGCCGAUGAGUACAAGGAGUGACGCAUCCUUAGAUCGAAUGAUAAACUCUCUAGUUGGAAACCACUCAUACAUCCAUUGCAUCGGUUCUCUUUUUGGAUUUAUUAAUAGUUUCACCAAUCCCCUGGCGUCUUCCGGUUGAGCAAACAUAUCCGGCAUGAAGUGCAUCAACUUUGGAUGAUGGAAAGCAAUGUCCGUACAUCCAUUGUACCUGCUCUUCUUUUAGAUUUCUUAGUAAUUCUGCUCAUCCUCUGGCGUCUUCCGAGUGAGCAAACAUAUCUGGCAUGAAAUGCAUCCGCUUUGGAUGAUGGAAAGCAAUGUGAUCAUCCCAAUUCCAGCGUAUGAUCUCCUGCCUAUGCUCUUUCUUUUAGAGAUGUUCAAUGAGCCAGAGUUGUAGUAUUAGAUUGCACCCUUCAAAGUGUUGUGCCCCUUGCUGGCAUUUCUAUAAGGCACGGUACAUUUCUGCGAGGAUCAUGGGUGCUAUGCUGAAUAUCUGCUCAUCGAUACCCUCCAUCACGGCUUUGGUUACCAUGGCAAGUCUUGUAUGGAUCCUAGACUUCUUCAUCGGGAAAAUUAUCAUUCCCAAAAAAUAGAACAUGAACACAAAAUCCCUCUUAUGUAUGUACCCCAAAUAGGUAAGGGCGAACUCUUCCAUGUGAUUGAGGUAUGAUUUGCUAUGUUCAAACCUUUCAUACAUGAAGUCGAAGGAUAUGUAGGAGUCCUUCAGGCUGGUCAAAUUUGGGUUUAGUCCCAUCAUCUUCAAGAACCUCUACCUUUUCAGCUUUCUGGCAUGAGCAACCCCGGGCUAUCCCAAGGAAUUCCGGCUAAACCCCCAAUUUCCUCCAACAGCGGCGUCAUUUCAAUAUCCCCAAAGCGGAAGAUAGACCAUUCACUAUCUAAAGACAUAGUAGCAGCUUCCACGAUCUUGUUAUCUGGCCUAACUUCCAAAAGUGAAGGAAGGUUUCCUAAGUGUUUACUGAUGGCAACCCAAUCACUACCAUGAAAAUCGUCCCACCAACUUAGCAAUUUUGGAUGAAUGUUUGAUACCAUACCGAACCUGGGGACCUCGUGCCUCAUUUCCUGCAAAAGAGAGAGCUAUGCCCUUACCCCACCGGACGCUACUAUUUAAAUCAAUAAUUAGCAAAAUGUAUUUAGUUCUCCGAAUCAAUGCACACAACGUGAUGGAGAGUUAGGCCCUUAACCCCACCGGACUCGACUAUUUAAAUCAAUAAUUAGCAAAAGGCAUUUAAUUCUCUGAAUCAAUGCACAUAACAUGAAUGUCCGUUUGGGUUUCGAGGAAACCCAAUGGACUUUGGUUUAGGCUAUCCUAAUGAGUCAUUAUGCGGACAACACAACUUACUCGGCUAAGUUAUACCAUGAUGCGUGAACAAUUAAAUAGAAUAAGGUUUCUACUUUUGAAGUGCUAGACAAGGUACCCGUGAUCAGACAACUCAAGAGGGAAAGGCGCGGAACCGUCGACUACAUCGUUGAUCGACUGGUUUUACCGCGAAUCUGCCUUUUUCCAAAUUUAGAGGGUUUGGAAGUAUUGGAAGGGCGCAACCACUCAUUAUAAGUGUUGCUAUAGGAUUUGUUUGGCACGAGUGGAAAAUUAUAUUGAAUGAUGCAAUCACAACAAGGAAAUAAGUACAUGUAUUUUCACAUUCAUACAAUAAUGGUUACAAUGAAUGCUCGAAAUUAAGGACGGAAUUGAAAUAAGAUAAAUACAAUAAAGCCGUAAAACUGUAAAAGAUAAAGGAAAGACGAGAAGAAAGAAGUUAGUAAUUGUGAAAAAUAAAUGAAGCAAUAAAUAAAGAAAGCAGUAAUGUCACAAAACACGUAGCGGUAAAAGCCUUAAAGAAAUCCCCAGCAGAGUCGCCAUACUGUCGACGCCCCCCUUUUUCAAGAGCGAAAUUGGGUUUCACAAUAUUAUGGGGAAAAGCAACUCUAUUUCCCAUUUGGAAAUUAGGUUAUGGAAUUGGAAGAGUCGCCACCUAAUGGUUAUAGUGCAUUAGGACACUUUAAGAGAGUAUUUUCGAGAGAGAAACCAGAGUUGGGUAAGGACUUGAGAUUAUCUCGAGGGGAAGGUGUUAGGCACCUCUCAAGAUCCACAAAUGUGGUUGCCGGCCGUGCUAAUUGUUAUUUUGGAAGAAGAUGAAGCAAAUGAAAUGCACACGUACAACAUUCAUAUAAUCUUAAAGCUUUAAAUAAAAGGACAUAAGUUUGAAAUAAAAGAGGAUUAGUUUGGAAAGCAUUAAGAAUGUAGUGAAAUAGAUAGCAAAGAAAGAAGGGUCCUAGGUUUAACUAUAAUAUGGAUCAUUCGAUGCAAUAUCUAGCUCACAUUCCCAAAGAGGGGUCGCUUUACGAUAUAAUCGCAUCGUCAUCAUCACCAUAUUCUAUCCUUCCCAACUCGUAGAGGUUAUUUAAACGUGUGAAUUGGUCAAGAAUGCUUAUUGCGUGUCGUUACCCGUCCCGUUCUAUAGAUCCUGGAGGGCACUUAGGUUCACUAUUCCUAUAAGGUAGGAACUAGGUUGGACCCCUGGAUUCAAAGGUAAAAAUGCUAGGCGACAUACAAAAGCAAAUAGGACUUACACGUAAAGGGAAUCAUGUAUAACAUAUAAAGGCUCAAUUAUCCCUCCAUUAAUGAACACGUAAUGAGCACGGCUCAAACACAAUUAAGGUCUAAGGAAAGAAAGAGUUUUUAAAGCUAGAGUAGAAGUAUGACAAAAACAGAAACUGGAGAGUUUUGCAGAAAGAGAUGUGAGGAAAGCGUUUAGAGACUUUAAAAGGGCAAUAGCAAUUUUAGGAAUCUGCAGAAAUCACUAAACAGCAUUUGUGGAAAAUAUGGUAGAACAGUUUUCGGACAGGCAGAGUAAAAAACAAGUAUGAAGGUAUUUUUUUAACAUUUCAAAAAGUGUAAAGAAAAACUAUCAGCUUUGAACUUUCAAAAAAAUUACGGUAUUCAGAUAGUUGAAAAUAGUAGUAUAAUUCUGGACGAUAGAAACCGUUGCAUCGAUAGUUUAAACAAAAGGGCAGAAGUAUAAAAUUUUAGAGAGCUUCAGAGACAAACGAUUCAAACAUGGGCGGAGAACAUGGUUUUUAUGUGUGAGGAUGUAUGUCCUAAAGCAUGGUAACUAUUGCACAAAUAAAUAAAUAAGUCCUAUAGGCAUGUCUUCUACCCAUUUCCUUAAUUAAACAUACAUACCCCCCCCGCAUAGUAUGGCACAGUAUCCNNNNNNNNNNNNNNNNNNNNNNNNNNNNNNNNNNNNNNNNNNNNNNNNNNNNNNNNNNNNNNNNNNNNNNNNNNNNNNNNNNNNNNCCCCCCCCCAUAUUUACUAUAAUCCCCAUUGUUUUUACAAAUUAUUAUAGCCAGAUAACUAAAAAUACAAUAGUGAGAAAGGAAAAUAAGAAGUUACUCUUUAGAGAGCCUUCAGCCAAGCCCAAACAUCUCCAACAUCACUUCUUUUGAAUUUCACAGCCAGUACCAAGGUUUGGGUACGGAAAAGCUCCCUAAGGGUUCGUUACCUUGGCCAAUACCAGGCACCCAAAAGAUGUCCCAAUUGGAAAGUUUCAAACAUUGAAAGGCAGCCUUGGGCAUCAGAGUUCCGUGGGUGCUCAAGGCUCCCAUGGCAGUGCUUACACCAAGGGGGCAGAACCUAGGGUUCUAAGAGUAGUGAAGUUGUGAUAGAAUUGAGAGAGUAGAAAAAAUAGUUGAGAAUUGAUUUAUGAAAACGGCAAAAGGAUUUGGAAGAUAGUUUGAGAAAAUAAUUUAAAAGAGUUGAAAGGAAUUAUUUUAAAAACAUUUGUACUAACCAGUUUAGACCAUUAUACAAACAGGGGGCAAAGGGGGGAGGGAACAGAUAAGUACCGGAUCGACUUACACCCAGGCAAACAUAGUGAAGGCAGGUAAUAAGACAUGGUUGUAGAACACAUAGGGGUUCAGUUCUUGCUGCACCAAACCCCAAUACAUUUAACCUCAAGAAGAGGUAUUAGGCUAAUCAAGUAGCCAGUAGCCCUGGAUACAUGGUAAUAAUGCACAAGGGAAAGUAAACAUUCAUUGAGACAGGCAAGGGGUAAGGGCAGCAUGCUAAUCUAAGCUAAAUAGGCUGGUAAGUGUAUACUAGUGACAACAAGAACAUCAGAACCAUAGGUAAAAGCACACAAGAAACAAGAAGAAGUGCAAAACUAGUAAAAGCAUGUUGUUUUAUAAACAAUAUAUUAAAUAGGUAACAUACCAGUUGCAGACAAUAGAACACAAUAACAAUGAGCAGUAGUGCACAAUAGAGAGCAAAGUAUGCAGAAAAUGGGAGCAGCAAUUUGAGAACAGCAAUGGGCAGCAAAGUUUGAGAAUGCCAGUGUGCAGCAAAGAGAGCAGCAGGCAAAUCCAUGCAAAUAUUGCAGGAGAACCUUAGUAGUGCAGAAGUAUACAGCCAAGAUUACUCAACUUGGCUUUCAGCCAAUUUAGUGAGAGAAUUUGUAGAAAAGAAACAAAACAGUAGGGAGAUAGAGAGCACUGAAUGUUAUUGAAAGAAAGUUCAGAGAGACUGCAAUGUCUUAGUACGAAAGAUAUGCAAUGUGUUGGUAUGAGAGAUAUGCAAUGUGUUGGUUGUGUUUCAAAGAGAAUGGGUAGGUACUUAUAGUACUAGAAACGAGUGAACAAACAAGGCACCAAUAAUUAAGGAACGGGCAUCAAUCACAAUCCCAUCAGUGUAAGGAUUUCCCUUUAAUUAAGGAGUCCAAG
RNAcentral lists this long non-coding RNA (6279 nucleotides) under Nicotiana benthamiana. RNAcentral describes it as "long non-coding RNA (NBEN_LNC019069)". The record is from RNAcentral. Lineage: Eukaryota; Viridiplantae; Streptophyta; Magnoliopsida; Solanales; Solanaceae.